GCCGGUGUGGCGAAACUGGUAUACGCACCGCACUCAAAAUGCGGCGGUCGCAAGGCCAUGUCGGUUCGAUUCCGACCACCGGCACCA
This 87-nucleotide transfer RNA is filed under the name Steroidobacteraceae bacterium. RNAcentral's name for it is "tRNA-Leu". It matches the Rfam family "tRNA". Rfam says of the family: Transfer RNA (tRNA) molecules are approximately 80 nucleotides in length. Their secondary structure includes four short double-helical elements and three loops (D, anti-codon, and T loops). Further hydrogen bonds mediate the characteristic L-shaped molecular structure. tRNAs have two regions of fundamental functional importance: the anti-codon, which is responsible for specific mRNA codon recognition, and the 3' end, to which the tRNAs corresponding amino acid is attached (by aminoacyl-tRNA synthetases). tRNAs cope with the degeneracy of the genetic code in two manners: having more than one tRNA (with a specific anti-codon) for a particular amino acid; and 'wobble' base-pairing, i.e. permitting non-standard base-pairing at the 3rd anti-codon position. Lineage: Bacteria; Pseudomonadati; Pseudomonadota; Gammaproteobacteria; Steroidobacterales; Steroidobacteraceae. The record is from RNAcentral.